CAGUAGCCGCGGUAAUACGUAGGGUGCGAGCGUUAAUCGGAAUUACUGGGCGUAAAGCGUGCGCAGGCGGCUUUGCAAGACAGAUGUGAAAUCCCCGGGCUCAACCUGGGAACUGCAUUUGUGACUGCAAGGCUAGAGUGCGGCAGAGGGAGAUGGAAUUCCGCGUGUAGCAGUGAAAUGCGUAGCUAUGCGGAGGAACACCGAUGGCGAAGGCAAUCUCCUGGGCCUGCACUGACGCUCAUGCACGAAAGCGUGGGGAGCAAACAGGAUUAGAUACCCCUGUAGUCCCUGUCUCUUAUAC
This 301-nucleotide ribosomal RNA is filed under the name uncultured bacterium. RNAcentral describes it as "partial 16S ribosomal RNA". It matches the Rfam family "Bacterial small subunit ribosomal RNA", at positions 509 to 807 of the family's 1533-position model. The record is from RNAcentral.